RNAcentral lists this ribosomal RNA (254 nucleotides) under uncultured bacterium. RNAcentral describes it as "partial 16S ribosomal RNA". It matches the Rfam family "Bacterial small subunit ribosomal RNA", at positions 524 to 776 of the family's 1533-position model. The record is from RNAcentral.
UACGUAGGGUGCGAGCGUUGUCCGGAAUUAUUGGGCGUAAAGAGCUCGUAGGCGGUUUGUCGCGUCUAUCGUGAAAACUGGCAGCUUAACUGUCAGCGUGCGGUGGAUACGGGCAGACUUGAGUGUGGCAGGGGAGACUGGAAUUCCUGGUGUAGCGGUGAAAUGCGCAGAUAUCAGGAGGAACACCGGUGGCGAAGGCGGGUCUCUGGGCCAAUCACUGACGCUGAGGAGCGAAAGCGUGGGGAGCGAACAGG